GACAGAGGGUGCAAGCGUUGUUCGGAAUUACUGGGCGUAAAGCGCGUGUAGGCUGCUCAGUAAGUCGGAUGUGAAAGCCCUGGGCUUAACCUAGGAAGUGCAUUCGAAACUUCUGAGCUUGAGUUCUGGAGAGGAAGGCGGAAUUCUCGGUGUAGAGGUGAAAUUCGUAGAUAUCGAGAGGAACACCGGUGGCGAAGGCGGCCUUCUGGACAGUGACUGACGCUGAGACGCGAAAGCGUGGGGAGCAAACAGG
RNAcentral lists this ribosomal RNA (253 nucleotides) under uncultured bacterium. Its description in RNAcentral is "partial 16S ribosomal RNA". It matches the Rfam family "Bacterial small subunit ribosomal RNA", at positions 524 to 776 of the family's 1533-position model. The record is from RNAcentral.